Molecule: long non-coding RNA, 399 nt
Organism: Schistocerca piceifrons (Central American locust)
Lineage: Eukaryota; Metazoa; Arthropoda; Insecta; Orthoptera; Acrididae
Exons: 3
Source: RefSeq, a predicted model, not a curated record
UGGCACGAGGCACGAGGCAGGGCUUUGGCAACGGGUCUGCCCGCCACGUCACACCGUCAGACUAUUCUGGUCAUUGUACGCUGACCACCUGACGUGGAUAGGCCUGCACCUGGCCAUCGGUUUUCUCUGAGUGUGGUUUGCAGACAAAAUCGUGUUACCAGAGCUUUACAGUGGCCGUCGCUCACACUCCACCAAUUUCCUCUUUCCACGCGGAGAGCAAGACGCUAGAAGGGAAAGCAGGCCCGAGACGAGACGAUUGCUGUGGACCCAGGAGACAUCGUCGGUUCCCAGCAGCAACGGUCAAAAAACGCGGAUUGAAGAAUGGCUAAAUGAAGCUAAAUUUAUGUCUCAUCACAGUUUAAAUAGUUACCAAAAGAAUUUAAAUUGAAACAAAAUGAC